UUAGUCUCUUUUGUCAGGCAACUAACGAGCAAGGCAGUCUUUCCUGAGGGUUUUUAUUAUUUUAGAGUUGUAGAGACCAAGUGGGCAUUUCCAGUUGGCUCUGAAUUUCACAGUCUUUACUAUCUGCUUUCAAGAAUGAAGACUCGGACUGUCACCAAGAAUCCAAAUCCAGGACAGCAGCCCCCAAGUGUGGGGUCAGGAAGGCAGGGUCUGCAGGAAUGGAACACGGUUUCUUGGAAAUAAAUUCAUGAAAUACAAGGAAAGGACUUUCUGCAGGCCAUGAUUCCCUUUCACAUCCACAAGAGGGAAGGAAAGAAAGAAACUAUUGGAACCAAAUACUGAAAUCAUGGAUAAAGAUGAAGACUGUGAACGAAUAAAGCUAAUGCUUUAAAGUUGGUCUGAUUAUUA
This 408-nucleotide long non-coding RNA is filed under the name Vulpes vulpes (red fox). RNAcentral describes it as "lncRNA (ENSVVUG00000011757.1)". The record is from RNAcentral. Lineage: Eukaryota; Metazoa; Chordata; Mammalia; Carnivora; Canidae.